Molecule: ribosomal RNA, 205 nt
Filed under: uncultured bacterium
Lineage: Bacteria
Description: partial 16S ribosomal RNA
Rfam family: Bacterial small subunit ribosomal RNA
Source: RNAcentral
UACGAAGGUCCCAAGCGUUAUCCGGAUUUAUUGGGUUUAAAGGGUGCGUAGGCGGGUUAUUAAGUCAGUGGUGAAAGCCUUCAGCUCAACUGAAGAAUUGCCAUUGAUACUGAUGAUCUUGAGUAUGAUUGAGGUGGGCGGAAUGUGUCAUGUAGCGGUGAAAUGCUUAGAUAUGACACAGAACACCGAUUGCGAAGGCAGCUCA